GGGGCUGUAACUCAGUGAUAGAGUGCUUGCCUUGCAUGUAUGAGGCACUGGGUUCGAUCCUCGGCACCA
RNAcentral lists this transfer RNA (69 nucleotides) under Ictidomys tridecemlineatus (thirteen-lined ground squirrel). Its description in RNAcentral is "Spermophilus tridecemlineatus (thirteen-lined ground squirrel) tRNA". It matches the Rfam family "tRNA". Rfam says of the family: Transfer RNA (tRNA) molecules are approximately 80 nucleotides in length. The record is from Rfam by way of RNAcentral. Lineage: Eukaryota; Metazoa; Chordata; Mammalia; Rodentia; Sciuridae.